This 430-nucleotide ribosomal RNA is filed under the name uncultured bacterium. RNAcentral describes it as "bacterial SSU rRNA". It matches the Rfam family "Bacterial small subunit ribosomal RNA", at positions 30 to 464 of the family's 1533-position model. The record is from RNAcentral.
AUUGAACGCUGGCGGCAUGCCUUACACAUGCAAGUCGAACGGCAGCACGGGAGCAAUCCUGGUGGCGAGUGGCGAACGGGUGAGUAAUAUAUCGGAACGUGCCCAGUCGUGGGGGAUAACGUAGCGAAAGCUACGCUAAUACCGCAUACGAUCUAUGGAUGAAAGCGGGGGAUCGCAAGACCUCGCGCGAUUGGAGCGGCCGAUAUCAGAUUAGGUAGUUGGUGGGGUAAAGCCUACCAAGCCUUCGACCUGUAGCUGGUCUGAGAGGACGACCAGCCACACUGGAACUGAGACACGGUCCAGACUCCUACGGGAGGCAGCAGUGGGGAAUUUUGGACAAUGGGCGCAAGCCUGAUCCAGCAAUGCCGCGUGCAGGAUGAAGGCCUCGGUUGUAACUAGCUUUGUACGGAACGAACGGACUAACUCUGUG